Molecule: transfer RNA, 75 nt
Filed under: Candidatus Wolfebacteria bacterium
Lineage: Bacteria; Candidatus Wolfeibacteriota
Description: tRNA-Glu
Rfam family: tRNA
About the family: Transfer RNA (tRNA) molecules are approximately 80 nucleotides in length. Their secondary structure includes four short double-helical elements and three loops (D, anti-codon, and T loops).
Source: RNAcentral
GCCGUGUUCGUCUAGUCUGGCCUAGGACGUGGCGUUCUCAACGCUAAAACACCGGUUCGAAUCCGGUACACGGCA